CGAUGACAGGGAAAUGAAUCAGGCAGAUUCAGCCUGCGCAACCCCAGCUGUUUCCAGGCAAGCUCUGCACAGUGGAGCCCGGGUGGGACCAGAUGAAGGCAGGAACAAAGGCGGCUUAUGGGAGGCCCAGAAUGUCCCUUUCACAUUGGACCCUGGGAGCCCCAGGAAUUAGCACAAACAGUGAAAUGGUCCACGAUGGUAACAGUAAGGCUCACGUGUGCAGCGCCAUGUCAUUUACAAAAUGCUGGCACAGGCAGCACCCCCGGGAGCCUCACAACUUCCGGUGAGGGAUGCAGACCGGAUGCCGUCUCUCAUGGAGCGUCCCAGAGUGAUCCUCCAGCAUCCACCUCUGCGGCUCACAGCGCCACCCAGUGGUCAGACCCGUGGCCCGGCUCCAUGGCUCCCUCGGGCCCCUGGCUGGGCAGAGCCCGGAAUCUAAGGUGCUCUUCCCGUGAGCCCCUCCUCUGGGGCGUUGCUAGGACAUCUGAUCAGAGGCGUUCGGAGGCCCAGCACUGGCCCCAGAUCAGCCCCAACGCCAAGGGAAGGCUGUGCCCCGGGACACCUGAGAUGCAAAGAUGACUGAUGCACACGGUUCACUGACGACCAUCCGACUGUUCCGAGAAAUGGAGAAACCAGAAGGAAGAGCCUGGCCCCACAGGAAGCAGAAGACAGACCUGAUCCUCCAAGAAGCCAGGCUUGAGCUCCGCCAGGGGCCACUCACCCCAUUCAGGAGAAGAGAGAGAUUCGCCCAUCAAGCGGGUGCAGCUGGCCGCUGAGACGCGGCGCCUAGGAGCUGAGUUCCGGGCCCGCAUCGCAUCGCAUCGCAGAGCCGUGGCGCCGUCACAGAAGAGUUUAUGAAAUACAUUAUUACAGACGAAGUGCUUGGAGCCGUGCCUGACGUGAAGGACGCUCUUCACAAACGUCCACACCACCUCCUUCUGUCCACACCACCGUGCGCCACCUGCGUUCUCAGUCUCUCUUCACGCGGAGGAAGAACUCAGAGACGCUUGCGAGCAAUCUGAUGGCAGAAUCCGAG
Molecule: long non-coding RNA, 1036 nt
Filed under: Equus caballus (horse)
Lineage: Eukaryota; Metazoa; Chordata; Mammalia; Perissodactyla; Equidae
Description: lncRNA (ENSECAG00000058562.1)
Source: RNAcentral